RNAcentral lists this long non-coding RNA (843 nucleotides) under Mus pahari (shrew mouse). RNAcentral describes it as "lncRNA (MGP_PahariEiJ_G0012080.1)". Lineage: Eukaryota; Metazoa; Chordata; Mammalia; Rodentia; Muridae. The record is from RNAcentral.
GCAGCCGGCAGAAGCCAGCUCUCAGGCUGACAGGCAAAUGAUCCAGAUCCGUGAUCGGGGGCCUCUGGGUGGCAGCUCCGGCCUUUUGGUUGUUGGACAACUAUAGUCAGAACUGAAAUGGAACAGGGGCAGGAGAAAUAACACACUUUUACUCUACGCAACUGUUGCUUUCACAUGAUCUUCAGGAAUGUUACUGGGAUAACUGUUCAAAUCAAAUCCCAUGCUCCUAUCAUGGUACUGAUUAUUAAGGUGACUUUAUGAAAGGAUCCCUCCAAAAUAACAGGAAUCAUGAGGAAUCCAUUAAUGUAAAGCUGCUGCCAGAGUUUCACGUGGAGGCAGAAUGUUCUAGAUGAUCCCUGUCUCUUCUCCACUGAGGAAGUAGUUUGUUGCCUUCCUGUAAGCUCGGUUAAUCACACCAGAAUAGGGCUCCUGUCUUACUGAGCAGUAUACACUAUGGAGAGAUCCUUCAAAAUCCGUUGGGAGGAAGAACAGAUGAAUUCAUAAAACUGUUCAUCUCUGUUAUCCUGAAUGGUCACUCAGACAACAUUUUACUAAACUAUCAAGGGGAACACUUAAAGUGCCUGCGAGACGGGAAGAGAAUGACUACAGGAGAAAAUCAUCCCAGGCCACGAUUUCCUAACCAGAAUCUGUAAAAGAGUUUCCAAGACCUUGGCAGAAGCAUAUUGUGUGAUGUUCUAUAUUUAUGAAACCCAUAACAAACUGUGAAGAGAUAACAGAAUGCUGUUUGCGUGAGUUGAAACAGUAGAUGAAAUCUUUCAUUAAAAUUACUCAUACUUUGGGUCUUAUUCUUAUUUAUAAAUAAGCAUAAAUAUUAUUGCAAAC